UCGAACGAACUCUGGUAUUGAUUGGUGCUUGCAUCAUGAUUUACAUUUGAGUGAGUGGCGAACUGGUGAGUAACACGUGGGAAACCUGCCCAGAAGCGGGGGAUAACACCUGGAAACAGAUGCUAAUACCGCAUAACAACUUGGACCGCAUGGUCCGAGUUUGAAAGAUGGCUUCGGCUAUCACUUUUGGAUGGUCCCGCGGCGUAUUAGCUAGAUGGUGAGGUAACGGCUCACCAUGGCAAUGAUACGUAGCCGACCUGAGAGGGUAAUCGGCCACAUUGGGACUGAGACACGGCCCAAACUCCUACGGGAGGCAGCAGUAGGGAAUCUUCCACAAUGGACGAAAGUCUGAUGGAGCAACGCCGCGUGAGUGAAGAAGGGUUUCGGCUCGUAAAACUCUGUUGUUAAAGAAGAACAUAUCUGAGAGUAACUGUUCAGGUAUUGACGGUAUUUAACCAGAAAGCCACGGCUAACUACGUGCCAGCAGCCGCGGUAAUACGUAGGUGGCAAGCGUUGUCCGGAUUUAUUGGGCGUAAAGCGAGCGCAGGCGGUUUUUUAAGUCUGAUGUGAAAGCCUUCGGCUCAACCGAAGAAGUGCAUCGGAAACUGGGAAACUUGAGUGCAGAAGAGGACAGUGGAACUCCAUGUGUAGCGGUGAAAUGCGUAGAUAUAUGGAAGAACACCAGUGGCGAAGGCGGCUGUCUGGUCUGUAACUGACGCUGAGGCUCGAAAGUAUGGGUAGCAAACAGGAUUAGAUACCCUGGUAGUCCAUACCGUAAACGAUGAAUGCUAAGUGUUGGAGGGUUUCCGCCCUUCAGUGCUGCAGCUAACGCAUUAAGCAUUCCGCCUGGGGAGUACGGCCGCAAGGCUGAAACUCAAAGGAAUUGACGGGGGCCCGCACAAGCGGUGGAGCAUGUGGUUUAAUUCGAAGCUACGCGAAGAACCUUACCAGGUCUUGACAUACUAUGCAAAUCUAAGAGAUUAGACGUUCCCUUCGGGGACAUGGAUACAGGUGGUGCAUGGUUGUCGUCAGCUCGUGUCGUGAGAUGUUGGGUUAAGUCCCGCAACGAGCGCAACCCUUAUUAUCAGUUGCCAGCAUUAAGUUGGGCACUCUGGUGAGACUGCCGGUGACAAACCGGAGGAAGGUGGGGAUGACGUCAAAUCAUCAUGCCCCUUAUGACCUGGGCUACACACGUGCUACAAUGGAUGGUACAACGAGUUGCGAACUCGCGAGAGUAAGCUAAUCUCUUAAAGCCAUUCUCAGUUCGGAUUGUAGGCUGCAACUCGCCUACAUGAAGUCGGAAUCGCUAGUAAUCGCGGAUCAGCAUGCCGCGGUGAAUACGUUCCCGGGCCUUGUACACACCGCCCGUCACACCAUGAGAGUUUGUAACACCCAAAGUCGGUGGGGUAA
This 1410-nucleotide ribosomal RNA is filed under the name Lactiplantibacillus plantarum. Its description in RNAcentral is "bacterial SSU rRNA". It matches the Rfam family "Bacterial small subunit ribosomal RNA", at positions 62 to 1438 of the family's 1533-position model. The record is from RNAcentral. Lineage: Bacteria; Bacillati; Bacillota; Bacilli; Lactobacillales; Lactobacillaceae.